AAGUCGUAACAAGGUUUCCGUAGGUGAACCUGCGGAAGGAUCAUUAUCGACACAGCGGACUUCGGUCCUUGCUGCACCCUUGUCUUUUGCGUACCGUAUCGUUUCCUCGGGGGGCUUGCCCCCCGCUAGGACCCUUUAUCAAACCUUUUUGUAAUAGCAGUCAGCGUCUGAUACUAAGUUAAUUAUUAAAACUUUCAACAAUGGAUCUCUUGGUUCUG
RNAcentral lists this unclassified non-coding RNA (218 nucleotides) under Pyrenochaetopsis sp. Its description in RNAcentral is "partial internal transcribed spacer region". The stretch from base 1 to 46 matches the Rfam family "Eukaryotic small subunit ribosomal RNA", at positions 1786 to 1831 of the family's 1831-position model. The record is from RNAcentral. Lineage: Eukaryota; Fungi; Ascomycota; Dothideomycetes; Pleosporales; Pyrenochaetopsidaceae.